This 479-nucleotide ribosomal RNA is filed under the name uncultured bacterium. RNAcentral's name for it is "partial 16S ribosomal RNA". It matches the Rfam family "Bacterial small subunit ribosomal RNA", at positions 28 to 507 of the family's 1533-position model. The record is from RNAcentral.
GACGAACGCUGGCCGCGUGCUUCCCCCCUGCACGUCGACCGCAGCUUGAUUACGGAUUCUUCGGAUGAAGUAUGAUAUGACUGAGUGGCGGACGGGUGAGUAACGCGUGAGUAACCUGCCCUUCAGAGGGGGAUAGCGUUUGGAAACGAACGGUAAUACCGCAUAAUGUAUUUUGACCGCAUGAUCGAAAUACCAAAGAUUUAUCGCUGAAGGAUGGACUCGCGUCGGAUUAGGUAGUUGGUGGGGUAACGGCCUACCAAGCCGACGAUCAGUAGCCGGACUGAGAGGUGGAUCGGCCACAUUGGGACUGAGACACGGCCCAGACUCCUACGGGAGGCAGCAGUGAGGAAUAUUGAACAAUGGGCGCAAGCCUGAUGCAGCAACGCCGCGUGAAGGAAGACGGUUUUCGGAUUGUAAACUUCUGUUCUUAGGGAAGAAUAAUGACGGUAGCUAAGGAGCAAGCCACGGCUAACUACGUG